AUACUUACCUGGCGUAUAGGUUAACCGCACUUCGAUUGAGUUAACCCCUGCGAUUAUUUCUAAUGUGAAUAACUCGUGCGUGUAAUUUUUGAUAGCCGGGAAUGCCAUUCGC
Molecule: small nuclear RNA, 112 nt
Filed under: Lucilia cuprina (Australian sheep blowfly)
Lineage: Eukaryota; Metazoa; Arthropoda; Insecta; Diptera; Calliphoridae
Description: U1 spliceosomal RNA
Rfam family: U1 spliceosomal RNA
About the family: U1 is a small nuclear RNA (snRNA) component of the spliceosome (involved in pre-mRNA splicing). Its 5' end forms complementary base pairs with the 5' splice junction, thus defining the 5' donor site of an intron.
Source: RNAcentral